CAUACGCGCAAUCGUUUGAAUUAUUUAUAUUAAUACUAUAUUAAUAAUUUGGUAUGUUUGACUGUAUAUAUUAUAAAUGUAUUGUAUUUAUUUUUAGAGAAUCGUCAGCAAAUAAAAAUAAUGACGCAUAUCUCGUGCCUUCGUAUUGAAAUGGCCAACUCUUAACAACUUACAUGUACUUGUUUACAGAUUUCGGCUUGUUUUGAAGUAUGAUGAGAAAGAAAGAAAUCACGGGGGCGUUAGCAAGUUAAGUGUCGUCUCAUAUAAGCCUGUGCUGCCCGCACAGACAAAUCAAGGAUGGCGCUUUCUGCCUCAACUGGAUUUUCGUUUAGAAGAUAUCGCCUUCAAAAGAAAAUUUAAUAGGAGCGUUAAGUGUCGUCCAUGAUAAGCCUGUGCGGACGGCACAUGCUAAUCUGGGAUGACACUUAACCCACAUACUUAAAGACCAUUUUUCCCAGAGCGCGGCUAUGUUUUACAAACUUGAGCCCAUCGCUUACCAGCACGUAUACCAUGCAGAUGAGGAAGACCAACACCGCCCCACCGCACAAACUUGAGCCUAUCGCUUACCAGCACGUAUACCAUGCAGAUUAGGAAGACCAACACCGCCCCCACCGCACGCUAUGAGAGCCUAACGCUUACCAGCACGUAUACCAUGCAGAUGAGGAAGACCAACACCGCCCCACCGCACAAACUUGAGCCUAUCGCUUACCAGCACGUAAACCAUGCAGAUGAGGACGACCAACACCGCCCACCGCACAAACUUGAGUCUAUCGCUUACCAGCACUUAAACCAUGCAGAUGAGGAAGACCAACACCGCCCCACCGCACGCUAUUAGAUCCUAACGCUUACCAGCACGUAUACCAUGCAGAUGAGGAAGACCAACACCGCCCCACCGCACGCUAUGACGGCGAUGGCCCAGUUGGGGAGUUUCUUGUCGUCGGCGAUUAUCUUGUCAGUGAUGGACGCCGUCGUCGUUGUCACCGGUUCUGGGGUCGUCGGCUCCGUUGUGGGUGGAACGACUGCGGAACAAACCAAUGAUAUAUCUUUAACCGUUACAUAAAAAACGCUAUACACAUCACAUAUACUCUAAACUAUGAACAAAUGUAAAAUGAGUUGUGGACUAGGACUCCAGGUUGUCCCUACUUACUUUCUUUGAACGCAAUGGAGCAAAAAUAAAUGCAUGUAAGUUUAAACUUAAAAAGAAAUGGUUGUUAGAUAAAAUAUUUUCUCAACAAGGGCAAAUACCAUCAUGCGUGAUACUGUUCGGGUCAAUAGUGAAGUUCCCAAAGCUAUUGGAGGAAGCAUUGACAACGGACGUGACGAAACUGCCGUUGAUUGCCUCCGUGGCGUUGAGAACCAAGGUGUAGUUCACAACCACGCUCCCUUUACUGAAAACAUACAACGACAGGUAUUCCAAAAAAUCAUUUAAGAAAAUAUUGAAAUACAUGUACAUUAAAUUCCUUAUGUCUCUGGUAAAUUCUGGUAAAGUUCGAUAAUCAAAACUAUUAAAGGGGCAGUCAACCAGAUUGACAAAAAAAAAAAAAAAAGUUCUAAAAUACCGACAUUAAAUGCUUUAUAUUGAUAAAUUUAAACAUUGGAUCUAAAAAUCUCCAGAAAAAAAUCAAGAAUUAAAAGAAAAAAGAAAAAAAGUAACCGAACCACUGACCCUUGGAGUCCUGGAGUAAAAAGUCUCCCGUGUAGACCACUCGGCAAUCAAUGCUCAUACAAUGAACGUUGUAUUUUAUUCUUUAUAUAAGCAAUCCGCGCAGUUUCACAAAAUAUAACGAUAACAACAAAACUUUCCAAAUUACCUGGUAGACAUACUCAGUAAAAUUGUAUUACCGAAUAUACUGAAAAUAUGAAAACUGAACAACAAUUUUCAAGAAAUGUCAUAUACCAGUCGUGAUAUUUUAAUCAAUAUAAAUUAAUAAUUGUAAAAAAAAUACGGUAUUUUAUAACUUGUCUUUUUUUCGUGUAAAAAAACAAUCUAGUUGACCCGUUUAACCCAUUUAAGCCUAGUGGACUCUUCCAUCCUUCUAAAUUGGAUCAAUUUAUUUCCAAAAUUAGGGAUGUCUAGUAUAUUUAUUUCUAUAUUUAGAAUAUUUCUUACGUAAAUUCUUUUAAGCAAACAGCGAAUACCCUUAUGAGACGCCGCAUCAUGCGGCGUCUCAUCUGGGUUUACGCUGUUUGCAAAGGCCUUUUUUCUAAACGCUAGGCAUAAAUGGGUUAAAGUACGGCGUUCUUCAGUGAACAUUUCAAAUAACAUAAUUAUAAUACCAGAAAACAUAUGUUUUCUGAUUUCCUUAAAUCAUAACAUUCUUAAUGUCUCUGGCUAUGAGCUGUUAAGAUAUUUUAAUUAAGAUGUUUAAAAUAAAUAAAUAUCGCCUAAAUUUUCAUUAUUGUAGCACCUUGAGAGCAUGAAAUAUAUGGUUUAUCAUUUAAAACAUUCGAUCGCAAACACCAUUGAUUUUGCUUGUUUGUUUUCACGUGAAAUGAGCUAUACUUUUGUUUUUAUUUUUUGUGUGACACAUCUGACUACCAAAGUAUCAUCAUAUUGGACUCAUCUUUCGAACAUUAGUCUGUUAAAACACAUCUGAAUGGAUCUUUAAAUGAGCCGCGUUCUGAGAAAACUGGGCAUAAUGUAUGUGCGUAAAGUGUCGACCCAGAUUAGCCUGUGGAGUUCGCACAGGCUAAUCAGGGACGACAAUUUCAGCCUAAAUUGGAUUUUUGCUUAGAAGAUACUUCAUUUAAACGAAAAAGGUCAUAAAAGCGGAAAGUGUCGUCCGUGAUUAGCCUAUGCGGAUAACACAGGCUAAUCUGGGAAGACACUCACUUUACGCACAUGCAUAAUGCCCAGUUUUCUCAGAACACGGCUCAAAUAUUACCUGAACGUAAAGUCCUUUAUCUCCUUCCAUUUUCCGUUAAGGGGUGAAUUCGCAAACACUUUCGUCAGCUAUAAAACAAUAGACAUUUUUGUAAGAACGCGCAACUGUAUGCAAACUUAGGCGCCAGGUCAUGGGCAGGGAGUUUUAAGUUUGAACUAAUACGUGCGAUGUUUUUAUUUUCCAUCGAGAAAAAAGGUUGCAAAAACGUGUAUUCACCCAUAUAAAAUUAAUCAAAUAAAAUUGUUUAUAUACCUUUCACAGCAAUAUAUACAUGUACAUGUACUUUAAUAUACACUAUGAAGCAACUAAUAUAAUAAUUACUUGUUUUCUUAAGUGUAUGCCACAAUUUUGAAAAUACCCUUCGGAAAUACAUUGCAACAUUAUUUAACAAAUUCGCACUGUAAUUUGGGAAAUCAUACCUGUUGUUCUAUUGCAUUCCGUAACGUUUUAUAUUCGAUGUGUUCUGUAUCCUCCAGUUCAGAUGUAUACGUCGCGCCAUCCGUUAUACGCAAACUACCAGCCAUUUCAAUAACAGCCGGCCUCGGUGUUGUGACGAUGCUGCUUGAUGUCGUAAUUAUCACUGAUGACGUCAUAAGAGGUGACACCUGCGUUGACGUCGCCGUUUGGUGAAAACUUGUUUGCGUUGGUUCAACAACUGAAGAGAUCGAUAAUGAUUCUACCGAACUGGAUGACGUUGGUUCGACAGAUGAAGUCAUUGUGGAAGACAUGGUAGGCAAAACGCUGAGUGUGGAACUUUCUGUUGGCAAGGAGCUUGAAGUGUGUGGCGUAACGCUUGUUGAUUGUUGUUCUUCAGAAGAAGUUGAAGAUUGAAAUAUUGAUGUUAUUGUGUGAUAACUUUGAGACGUUAUUGUUGACGUUGUAAAUGGCAUUACGGGCGACCUUAUGGAGGAAAUUGAGAGUGUUAAAUCCGGGAAUGUAGUAAACGAUGACAUCACUGAAGAAGACGAGGACACACUUGGAUCUAUAUAUGUCGUAGUAGCAGAUAGGCUCACCAUCUCUGAUGACGAAGAGCUCAAACCUGCUGCUGGAGUGGGAAUAACAAGUGAAGUAAACAAUAUUGAUGAAGAUGAAGUCAUAGGCAAAACUUGUGAUGAAGGCGUCGUGUCAGAAGAUUGCAUAACAGUGCUUGUCAAAACGGUGCUUGUAGAAGACGAAGGAGGAAGAGACGUUACCAUGGGUAUGCUUAAAGACGAAGAAAGAUCUACCUGUGAUGAAGAAGAGGUGCUGGAAGAUGUUAAUAAGUCUGACGUUGUUACUGAAGACGACAGUGGUAUUGUCGAUGCUGAAGAAAACACAAUAGUUGACGACAUAGAUUGAGAAAAAGAUGGUGUUAUAAUGCUACCUGACGAUGUUGCAAUAACAGCAGAAGUUUGCUCACUUGACGUUGUAGAAGGUUCGAUUGAUGAGGGCGAAGACAUGACUCCCGAUGUUGUUAAUGCGAAAUCCGAUGAGGUCAUACUGGAUAAUCGAGUUAAUAAGUCUGACGACGAUGCAGGAGUGCUGGAGACUUGAGAAGACAUGCUUUGUAAAUCCAUUAUAGAAGAUGACGACGUGCUUGAAGACAGCGUAUAUAAAUCUGACAUAGAUGUAUCCAAAUAUUACAUAUCAAUAAGUGAUGAAGACAAUGCCGUUGUUGAUGACGGCAUGGUUGACACAGACGUAGGUAUACCUGUAUAGGAAGGUAUUGUUGAGUAUGAUGAAUCUAAUGUUGACGAUUAACCAAUCGCUGAAGACGACGAAGACAUUGUUAUCGAUGACGUAGAAAUUGGUAAAGGUGACAUAAGAAUUAAUAAUGACGACGUAGAUAUUAGUGACGAUGAUGUAGGCAUUAUCGGCGAAGACGUAUCCAUGAGUGAAGACGAAAUAGGCAUUACCGACGAUGAAAUAGACAAUGGGGCCGAUGACGUUGACAUUAUUAACGAUGACGUAAACAUUGGUGACGACGAAGUAGGCAGAAGUAAUGUGACCGUAGAAUCUGAGGACGAUGAUAUAGAUAUAAUUGAUGACGAUGUAGGCAUCAUUGAUGAUGACGUAUCAAUAAUGAGGCAUUUUGUAUUCAAUUCACAGAACUCUAUAAAUCUUUACAUAAAUAAAAGUAUUUUGCAAACAA
Molecule: RNA transcript, 5016 nt
Organism: Dreissena polymorpha
Lineage: Eukaryota; Metazoa; Mollusca; Bivalvia; Myida; Dreissenidae
Exons: 2
Source: RefSeq, a predicted model, not a curated record